AUUGAACGCUGGCGGAAUGCUUUACACAUGCAAGUCGAAUGGUAGAGGGGGCAACCCCUCGAGAGUGGCGAACGGGUGAGUAAUAUAUCGGAACGUGCCCAGUCGUGGGGGAUAACGUAGCGAAAGUUACGCUAAUACCGCAUACGAUCUAAGGAUGAAAGCGGGGGGUCGCAAGACCUCGCGCGAUUGGAGCGGCCGAUAUCAGAUUAGGUAGUUGGUGGGGUAAAGGCUCACCAAGCCAACGAUCUGUAGCUGGUCUGAGAGGACGACCAGCCACACUGGAACUGAGACACGGUCCAGACUCCUACGGGAGGCAGCAGUGGGGAAUUUUGGACAAUGGACGCAAGUCUGAUCCAGCCAUUCCGCGUGCAGGAUGAAGGCCCUCGGGUUGUAAACUGCUUUUGUACGGAACGAAAAGGUCUCUCUUAAUACGGGGGACUCAUGACGUUACUCGCAGAAUAAGCACCGGCUAACUCUGUGCCAGCCGCCGCGGUAA
RNAcentral lists this ribosomal RNA (496 nucleotides) under uncultured bacterium. RNAcentral describes it as "partial 16S ribosomal RNA". It matches the Rfam family "Bacterial small subunit ribosomal RNA", at positions 30 to 523 of the family's 1533-position model. The record is from RNAcentral.